CCUUUCAGCUUGUUGGUGGGGUAAUGCCCUACCAAGGCGACGACGGGUAGCCGGCCUGAGAGGGUGACCGGCCACACUGGGACUGAGACACGGCCCAGACUCCUACGGGAGGCAGCAGUGGGGAAUAUUGCACAAUGGGCGAAAGCCUGAUGCAGCGACGCCGCGUGAGGGAUGACGGCCUUCGGGUUGUAAACCUCUUUCGCCAGGGACGAAGCGCAAGUGACGGUACCUGGAUAAGAAGCACCGGCUAACUACGUGCCAGCAGCCGCGGUAAUACGUAGGGUGCAAGCGUUGUCCGGAAUUAUUGGGCGUAAAGAGCUCGUAGGCGGUUUGUCGCGUCGGCUGUGAAAUCUGGAGGCUUAACCUUCAGCGUGCAGUCGAUACGGGCAGACUUGAGUUCGGUAGGGGAGACUGGAAUUCCUGGUGUAGCGGUGAAAUGCGCAGAUAUCAGGAGGAACACCGGUGGCGAAGGCGGGUCUCUGGGCCGAUACUGACGCUGAGGAGCGAAAGCGUGGGGAGCGAACAGGAUUAGAUACCCUGGUAGUCCACGCUGUAAACGUUGGGCGCUAGGUGUGGGCGACAUCCACGUUGUCCGUGCCGUAGCUAACGCAUUAAGCGCCCCGCCUGGGGAGUACGGA
RNAcentral lists this ribosomal RNA (638 nucleotides) under Amycolatopsis sp. LV6. RNAcentral describes it as "bacterial SSU rRNA". It matches the Rfam family "Bacterial small subunit ribosomal RNA", at positions 237 to 886 of the family's 1533-position model. The record is from RNAcentral. Lineage: Bacteria; Bacillati; Actinomycetota; Actinomycetes; Pseudonocardiales; Pseudonocardiaceae.